UCUGGGACAAGCCCUGGAAACGGGGUCUAAUACCGGAUACCACUCCUGCCUGCAUGGGCGGGGGUUGAAAGCUCCGGCGGUGAAGGAUGAGCCCGCGGCCUAUCAGCUUGUUGGUGGGGUAAUGGCCCACCAAGGCGACGACGGGUAGCCGGCCUGAGAGGGCGACCGGCCACACUGGGACUGAGACACGGCCCAGACUCCUACGGGAGGCAGCAGUGGGGAAUAUUGCACAAUGGGCGAAAGCCUGAUGCAGCGACGCCGCGUGAGGGAUGACGGCCUUCGGGUUGUAAACCUCUUUCAGCAGGGAAGAAGCGAAAGUGACGGUACCUGCAGAAGAAGCGCCGGCUAACUACGUGCCAGCAGCCGCGGUAAUACGUAGGGCGCAAGCGUUGUCCGGAAUUAUUGGGCGUAAAGAGCUCGUAGGCGGCUUGUCACGUCGGAUGUGAAAGCCCGAGGCUUAACCUCGGGUCUGCAUUCGAUACGGGCUAGCUAGAGUGUGGUAGGGGAGAUCGGAAUUCCUGGUGUAGCGGUGAAAUGCGCAGAUAUCAGGAGGAACACCGGUGGCGAAGGCGGAUCUCUGGGCCAUUACUGACGCUGAGGAGCGAAAGCGUGGGGAGCGAACAGGAUUAGAUACCCUGGUAGUCCACGCCGUAAACGUUGGGAACUAGG
Molecule: ribosomal RNA, 669 nt
Filed under: Streptomyces sp.
Lineage: Bacteria; Bacillati; Actinomycetota; Actinomycetes; Kitasatosporales; Streptomycetaceae
Description: bacterial SSU rRNA
Rfam family: Bacterial small subunit ribosomal RNA
Source: RNAcentral